RNAcentral lists this ribosomal RNA (459 nucleotides) under Streptococcus sp. oral taxon C65. RNAcentral's name for it is "bacterial SSU rRNA". It matches the Rfam family "Bacterial small subunit ribosomal RNA", at positions 28 to 471 of the family's 1533-position model. Lineage: Bacteria; Bacillati; Bacillota; Bacilli; Lactobacillales; Streptococcaceae. The record is from RNAcentral.
GACGAACGCUGGCGGCGUGCCUAAUACAUGCAAGUAGAACGCUGAAGAGAGGAGCUUGCUCUUCUUGGAUGAGUUGCGAACGGGUGAGUAACGCGUAGGUAACCUGCCUUGUAGCGGGGGAUAACUAUUGGAAACGAUAGCUAAUACCGCAUAACAAUGAAUGACACAUGUCAUUUAUUUGAAAGGGGCAAUUGCUCCACUACAAGAUGGACCUGCGUUGUAUUAGCUAGUAGGUGAGGUAACGGCUCACCUAGGCGACGAUACAUAGCCGACCUGAGAGGGUGAUCGGCCACACUGGGACUGAGACACGGCCCAGACUCCUACGGGAGGCAGCAGUAGGGAAUCUUCGGCAAUGGGGGCAACCCUGACCGAGCAACGCCGCGUGAGUGAAGAAGGUUUUCGGAUCGUAAAGCUCUGUUGUAAGUCAAGAACGAGUGUGAGAGUGGAAAGUUCACACUG